RNAcentral lists this ribosomal RNA (253 nucleotides) under uncultured bacterium. RNAcentral's name for it is "partial 16S ribosomal RNA". It matches the Rfam family "Bacterial small subunit ribosomal RNA", at positions 524 to 776 of the family's 1533-position model. The record is from RNAcentral.
UACGAAGGGGGCGAGCGUUGUUCGGAUUUACUGGGCGUAAAGGGCGCGUAGGCGGCCCUCCUUGUCGCGUGUGAAAGCCCCGGGCUUAACCUGGGAAUUGCGGUUGAAACUACAGGGCUAGAAUCUGGCAGAGGGGGGUGGAAUUCCACGUGUAGCAGUGAAAUGCGUAGAGAUGUGGAGGAACACCGGUGGCGAAGGCGGGUCUCUGGGGCAUAACUGACGCUGAGGAGCGAAAGCAUGGGGAGCGAACAGG